UACGUAGGGGGCUAGCGUUGUCCGGAAUCAUUGGGCGUAAAGAGCGUGUAGGCGGUCCGGUAAGUCCGCUGUGAAAGUCGGGGGCUCAACCCUCGAAUGCCGGUGGAUACUGUCGGGCUAGAGUACGGAAGAGGCGAGUGGAAUUCCUGGUGUAGCGGUGAAAUGCGCAGAUAUCAGGAGGAACACCUAUUGCGAAGGCAGCUCGCUGGGACGUGACUGACGCUGAGACGCGAAAGCGUGGGGAGCAAACAGG
This 253-nucleotide ribosomal RNA is filed under the name uncultured bacterium. RNAcentral's name for it is "partial 16S ribosomal RNA". It matches the Rfam family "Bacterial small subunit ribosomal RNA", at positions 524 to 776 of the family's 1533-position model. The record is from RNAcentral.